CCUACGUGAGGCAGCAGUGAGGAAUAUUGGUCAAUGGCCGUAAGGCUGAACCAGCCAAGCCGCGUGAAGGAAGAAGGAUCUAUGGUUUGUAAACUUCUUUUAUAGGGGAAUAAAGGUAUCCACGUGUGGAUAUUUGCAUGUACCCUAUGAAUAAGCAUCGGCUAACUCCGUGCCAGCAGCCGCGGUAAUACGGAGGAUGCGAGCGUUGUCCGGAUUUAUUGGGGUUAAAGGGUGCGUAGGUUGUUUUUUAAGUCAGCGGGGAAAAUUUGUGGCUCAACCAUAAAAUUGCCGUUGAAACUGGAAGACUUGAGUGUGGUUGAGGUAGGCGGAAUGUGUGGUGUAGCGGUGAAAUGCAUAGAUAUCACGCAGAACUCCGAUUGCGAAGGCAGACUACUAGGCCAUAACUGACACUGAAGCACGAAAGCGUGGGGAUCAAACAGGAUUAGAUACCCCAGUAGUC
This 460-nucleotide ribosomal RNA is filed under the name uncultured bacterium. RNAcentral's name for it is "partial 16S ribosomal RNA". It matches the Rfam family "Bacterial small subunit ribosomal RNA", at positions 338 to 795 of the family's 1533-position model. The record is from RNAcentral.